This 1038-nucleotide long non-coding RNA is filed under the name Anser cygnoides (Swan goose). RNAcentral describes it as "lncRNA (ENSACDG00005002647.1)". Lineage: Eukaryota; Metazoa; Chordata; Aves; Anseriformes; Anatidae. The record is from RNAcentral.
AUGCGGCGAGGGCGGCGGGAGCGCGGCGCGUGCUGGGAGUGCUCUUUAAAGGUCUCCCAGCAUCGCCCCUUCCCCCUGACGCCCCACGGCCAGCACCGUGGGCUCCCUCCCUGCAGGGGUUUCGCUACGGCGCGCGUUUUGAGACCCAGCAGGAUGGGACCCCCGCCUGGGGGAAAAGCCCCCGGGCAGCAGCAGCAGCAGCGGGUAGGGGAAGGCUUCAGCCAUCCCUGCAGCCUCCACUUCUGCUCCCUGCUGGUUUUUCCCCAGGGAGCAAGGCCCCGGGCUGCCCCCCCUUGCCCAGCCGGAGCCCCGCUGCCCCCCCCGGUGGGCUCAGCCCACCCCUCGCCGGGGCCGACAGAUGCUCUCCCGCCUGCGCCGCAGAUGGGCGAGGAAACAACGCGCUGCAUUCACGGACCCGAGGCCGGAGCCCCCCUUCCUCAUCCUGCCCCAAAACCCCCUCCAUACAACUUUCUGCCCCCCACCCCCACCCCAAGCCUCUCCAGGGGGGCUCCGAGCCCCCGGCUCCCCCCGCGGCCCCACGGCCCGGCGGGACGCAGCCUGCCUGGGAGCAGCUCCCCGGGCCUUGGCUGCGCAGGGACAGAGCAGCUCAUUUAUCAUCCACCGCCGCCCCGGCCCUGCGGUCGCUGUUUUGUUUUUUUUUUUGAUUUUUUUUUUUUUUUUUGCAACAGAGAAGCUGGGAGGGAGAGAGAAUUUCUCAAGUCGGCCCCGGCAAGAACUGAAAACAUAUGCCCUGGCGGCAAAGCCGUCCCCCGGGGCGCGCGGCGAUGGAGGCGAGCCUCGCGCAGGAUUUUCCACCGCGGCUCCCUCCGCGCCCCGGUGCCGGGGAGGGUCCCCGUUGGAUCCAGAGUUUUCAAGCCACCCCGGGGCUGGGGAUGGGGUCUGCAGCCCCGUCCCACCUCCGGCACCGUCGUGUCCCCUGGCACGGAGGCAAAGCCAAGCGAGGCGGGGCCGGGCGGCCUCCGCGUGGCCGCGUUGCGCCAGGGCCGGGGAGCGGGCGCUGGUUGUGCAAGGUGCUGA